RNAcentral lists this ribosomal RNA (408 nucleotides) under Oscillospira sp. H. RNAcentral's name for it is "bacterial SSU rRNA". It matches the Rfam family "Bacterial small subunit ribosomal RNA", at positions 71 to 487 of the family's 1533-position model. Lineage: Bacteria; Bacillati; Bacillota; Clostridia; Eubacteriales; Oscillospiraceae. The record is from RNAcentral.
AAGGAGUUUUCGGACAACGGAAGCUGAGGAAAGUGGCGGACGGGUGAGUAACGCGUGAGGAACCUGCCUUGGAGAGGGGGACAACAGCUGGAAACGGCUGCUAAUACCGCAUGAUGCAUCGGUGUCGCAUGGCAUUGAUGCCAAAGAAUUAUCGCUCUGAGAUGGCCUCGCGUCUGAUUAGCUGGUUGGUGGGGUAACGGCUCACCAAGGCGACGAUCAGUAGCCGGACUGAGAGGUUGAACGGCCACAUUGGGACUGAGAUACGGCCCAGACUCCUACGGGAGGCAGCAGUGGGGAAUAUUGGGCAAUGGGCGCAAGCCUGACCCAGCAACGCCGCGUGAAGGAAGAAGGCUUUCGGGUUGUAAACUUCUUUUAAGGGGGAAGAGCAGAAGACGGUACCCCUUGAAU